AUGAAUAAAUUCAAACGUACGAUUGUCCAUGACAGCGUAUGUGAUUUAUGUGGACAUGGGGAAGAGGACGAAUUCCACGCGGUCUUAAUAUGCACAAAGAGCAGGGCUUUGAGGUUUGCUAUGCGGAAAGUGUGGGGAAUACCGAAUGAACAUGAGUUCGGGUACACUGGGAGAGACUGGCUUCAGGUGUUGUUAGACAAAAAUGAUUCAGAGAUGAGGAUCAAAAUCCUACUUCUACUGUGGCGUGCCUGGUUUUUACGUGAUGAUUGUGUGCAUCAUGAGGGUAAGGAAUCUGUAUCGAGAUCGGUGCAGUUCCUGAUUGGGUACGAGAGGGAAUUACAGAAUCUGUCACUGGAUGAUCGGACUAACGGGAAAUGCAGUGGCUCUUUGUCAGUCUUCGGAUAA
RNAcentral lists this ribosomal RNA (405 nucleotides) under Triticum aestivum (bread wheat). Its description in RNAcentral is "partial small subunit ribosomal RNA". The record is from RNAcentral. Lineage: Eukaryota; Viridiplantae; Streptophyta; Magnoliopsida; Poales; Poaceae.